GUUAGGGUGGCAGAGCCAAGUUAUGCAAAAGACCUAAGAUCUUUCUAACAGAAGUUCAAAUCUUCUCCCUAACC
RNAcentral lists this transfer RNA (74 nucleotides) under Liolaemus darwinii. RNAcentral's name for it is "tRNA-Leu". It matches the Rfam family "tRNA". From Rfam's summary of the family: Transfer RNA (tRNA) molecules are approximately 80 nucleotides in length. The record is from RNAcentral. Lineage: Eukaryota; Metazoa; Chordata; Lepidosauria; Squamata. RNAcentral also lists the same sequence under 1 other name.